CUCGGAGCUGUAGGACGUGGGCAGCAGAGAACACUGCCCUCGGAGGGGUCACUCCUGCCCCUUCCGGCCCGGCCCGGCCUGGGUGCUCCUAUUUGAGGGCACUGAUGUGCCCGGGCAGCCACGCGUGCAGGUCGGGGUCCUGAGCAGAGGUGGGCAAGUCCCGACUCCCCUUCUGCAUCUGGGCACAAGGACAAACUCGCAUCGUCCGGCAACCAUGAGGAGCCCCGGACAGCAGAGGCGUCAUUGUGACCGUGACUUUCCAGGACUUACAUCAUCAGAGGGUCUGCUGACAUCACCACCCACGGAAGGCUAAACGCCGCGCAAGCCCGCCAUGGUGUCUGGCCCGUAACUUUACAAAGACCCAAAGAUAGACGCUCGGAAAACGGCCAUCCCUGUGGGCCGUCUUGACCGCCUCUUACGUUGCCCCAACUGAGGUGAAGGGCCCCCUCAGAAGGGAGGUGGGGAAGUUUGGUGACAACGGUAGAAGCGGCGCCUGCCUUGGGGGUGUCGUCACUGAGACUCACUGCUGGAGAGACCCCGUGUUACCCCACCCACGUGGCAUUGCUAAUGCCCUAGGAGUCAAGCAGGGGUCAGUGUCACAUUGCGGGACACGAAAACCGCCUGGCCAGUGUGGAGGGGUCCAGUGGGAGUACAAUGUGAGUGGCCUUUGCCCUGUCCAGUUUUCUGGUAGGAGGUAAAAAGAAACAGGUAGAUUACAUUUCGUCAUAUAUUUGUACUUAGCCCAGUAGAUCCAUAUAAUCAAUAUAAAUUUAUUGAUUACAUACUUAA
Molecule: long non-coding RNA, 789 nt
Organism: Eubalaena glacialis (North Atlantic right whale)
Lineage: Eukaryota; Metazoa; Chordata; Mammalia; Artiodactyla; Balaenidae
Exons: 2
Source: RefSeq, a predicted model, not a curated record